RNAcentral lists this transfer RNA (72 nucleotides) under Navicula sp. Its description in RNAcentral is "tRNA-Trp". It matches the Rfam family "tRNA". Rfam says of the family: Transfer RNA (tRNA) molecules are approximately 80 nucleotides in length. Lineage: Eukaryota; Bacillariophyta; Bacillariophyceae; Naviculales; Naviculaceae. The record is from RNAcentral.
AGGAAAAUAGUUCAGCGGCAGAACAGUGGUUUCCAAAACCAAAAGUCAGGGGUUCAAUUCCUCUUUUUCCUG